GUCCGCCUGCCCCGUGAUACAUUUAACGGCCGCGGUAUCUUGACCGUGCAAAGGUAGCAUAAUCAAUUGUUCUUUAAAUAAGAACUAGUAUGAACGGCACCACGAGGGUUUAACUGUCUCCCCCAUUUAAUCAAUAAAACUGACCUUCCCGUGAAAAGGCGGAAAUAUAAAUAUAAGACGAUAAGACCCCAUGGAGCUUUAAACUUAUCAUCACUUACUAAGAGUAAAACACAACAUAAAGUAAUAAUGCUAAUGAUAGUUUUCGGUUGGGGCGACCAUGGAGAAAAACAAAUCCUCCAAGCUGAAUGAAUAAUAAUAUUAGAACUACAAUUCAAACAAUCAAAACUUUGACAAAAUGACCCAGGAUAAUAUCCUGAUCAACGAACCAAGUUACCCUGGGGAUAACAGCGCAAUCCAUUUCAAGAGCCCAUAUCGACAAAUGGGUUUACGACCUCGAUGUUGGAUUGGGAUAUCCCAGCAGCGCAGCCGCUGCUAAUGGUUCGUUUGUUCAACGAUUAAUAAUCCCACGUGAUCUGAGUUCAGACCGGA
Molecule: ribosomal RNA, 549 nt
Filed under: Hyperolius fusciventris (lime reed frog)
Lineage: Eukaryota; Metazoa; Chordata; Amphibia; Anura; Hyperoliidae
Description: partial large subunit ribosomal RNA
Rfam family: Bacterial large subunit ribosomal RNA
Source: RNAcentral